Molecule: ribosomal RNA, 488 nt
Filed under: Heterosigma akashiwo
Lineage: Eukaryota; Raphidophyceae; Chattonellales; Chattonellaceae
Description: partial Bacterial small subunit ribosomal RNA
Rfam family: Bacterial small subunit ribosomal RNA
Source: RNAcentral
CGGCCCAGACUCCUACGGGAGGCAGCAGUGGGGAAUUUUGGACAAUGGGCGCAAGCCUGAUCCAGCCAUGCCGCGUGCGGGAAGAAGGCCUUCGGGUUGUAAACCGCUUUUGUCAGGGAAGAAAAGGUUCUGGCUAAUACCUGGGACUCAUGACGGUACCUGAAGAAUAAGCACCGGCUAACUACGUGCCAGCAGCCGCGGUAAUACGUAGGGUGCAAGCGUUGUCCGGAAUUAUUGGGCGUAAAGAGCUCGUAGGCGGUUUGUCGCGUCUGUCGUGAAAGUCCGGGGCUUAACCCCGGAUCUGCGGUGGGUACGGGCAGACUAGAGUGCAGUAGGGGAGACUGGAAUUCCUGGUGUAGCGGUGGAAUGCGCAGAUAUCAGGAGGAACACCGAUGGCGAAGGCAGGUCUCUGGGCUGUAACUGACGCUGAGGAGCGAAAGCAUGGGGAGCGAACAGGAUUAGAUACCCUGGUAGUCCACGCCGUAAAC